AUGAAUUUCCUUUCUCAGGCUCACAGCUUGGGGUCCCACGUCCGCUCGCUCCGAGCGAGGGCUGAGAGUUGGAGCUCCUGGGGUCUGCCAACCUGCUCACCACCACCCGCCCCCGCCUCCCCGGGGUUCCCAGGAGUGCUGUGGGGAAGCCGUCGGGUUUUCCACGGCAUCCUCGCUGGUUUGCCCUCCGUCCACGUCCACGGGCUUUCUCCUCGCAGCCUCUCCCGCCCCUGCCCCUCACGGCCCGGGAGGCGGGAGGCGCGGCGGCCGCUGGCGGGGAGAGAGUGCGCUCGCCCCGGACCCGGCUGCACAAAGGGGGCGCAGCCCCGGCCUCAGCUCAACGCGGAUUCGUGGUCGUGGGGCGCCCAGCAACGCCUGAAACUCCGUACUCCCGUGCUGCUCUGGGGUGUCCUCCAGAGUUUGGCCAGUGAGAUUGGAUAUUUGCACUUCUGCACAACAGAGAUCUUUUAAGUAAGGUGAGAGAAAUUGAGCCUCCUAAUGUUUAAGUUUGGUAGAAGUAACCUUUGCUUUUGAAAACUCUGUUACCUCUUUAUUUUUGUUUAUUAAGCACCACUGAGAACCAAACAAGAUUAGAGAAAAUUGUGCAAGUGAGCAUUUGUCCCUGUUCCACCCAUUCAUUUGCACGCCUUCCACUUUUACCUCCUGCAUUUUUCCUUCUCGAGGAUGUCCAUCGCACUCAGGGUUUCACAGCCCCUCAUUUUCCAGGAGGAAAUCUAUAACUUGAAAUUUAGUCACCUUUUUGUGCCUGGCUUUUCUCAUUUAAGAUUUCCUAAAUCAUAAUAUUAUGGGGGUUAAAUGAGUUAAUGUAUGUCACAGGGCUUGGUAUUUGGUUGUGCCUAAUGGGGAGUGUUUAGUUACCUGAGUGUUUAGUUACUCAAAGAACUUAUUAAUAAUGACAGAGAGUCACACUCUUUGUUGGAAAGUUUUACAGUGUUAAAAAUCCAUAGCACAAGGGCUGGUAUUUUGUCUUCUGUACACAUUUGUAAAAUAUUUUAAGCAUGAUGAUGAGUGGGUCAGUCACCGGAAGACUGCAGGCACAAGAGAGAAUAUAGAAUAUCCUAAGUAUCCCAAGAAUCAUGAGUCUCAUUUAAAAAAAAAAUUUUUGUAGUACAGUAGAUUUAACCCAGGGCCUUGGCACUAACAUCCCGAACAUGUUUGCCUUUUAUUUUGAGACAAGGUCUUACUGAGUCACCAAGUUGCCCAGGUUGGGCUUGAACAUGUGAUCUUUCUGCCUGAACUUUCCAUAGUUUCUUACUUCUGCUGGGGAAAGGAGACAACAAUAGCUAUAUAGUGUUGAGCUAGUUAAUUGUUUUAUAUCUUCUAUAAUUUCCAUUUCUUGCAUAGUAGACAGUAUCUUUUUGUCUUUUUUGAGACAGUCUUACUUUAUAGGGUAAGUUGGCCUUAAACUCACUAUUUUGCCCAGGCUGGUCUCCUACUUGUGGCUAUCCUCCUGCCUCUGCUUCCCAAGUGCUGGGAUUACAGGCAUGUGCCACCACACCUGGUAUAUGGUAUAUUUUAAAAUCCAGUAUGAAUGUUCUAGGGGCUGGGGAUUUAGCUCAGUGGCACAGCACCGGCCUGGCAAGCACGAGGUCAUGAGUUUGAUUCCCGGUACCAGAAAAAAAAAAGAAAAGAAAACAAAACAAAACAAUAUCAAUGUUCUAUAUUAAGACCUAUUAAACAUUUUAAAACCAUCUUCUGGCAUUGUGAAAUUUUUUUUUGAGACAUCACAUUUUAAAGCAUUCAAGAUAUUACUCCACCCAUUUUACUUCAAGAAUACUGUAUGCAAAAUAAUUUUGAAGGACAUUUCAUUUUCUAGUAUGUAUUUUCAGCAGGUGGCUAGUGGCCUUUGACCUAUUCUAGCAGCACACAGAACUGAAUGUCAGACUCAAGUUCUUUAAAUGUUGUAUUUUCAUCUUGUAUAAUGAAACAUAGUAAUUUUUUUAGACAGCCUUAUAUAUUUUCUCAAGUAGUUAUUGAUAGAGAUUUGUCAAUUUAGUAGGAGAGAAGAAAAAUCCCAAAAUUUUAUAGCAGUUAGGUUUUAAGAAUAUUUAGAUAUGCUCAGGUUUAUAAAUCCAAAUAUUUUAAUAAUAUCAAAUCUAAUGUAUUUACAUCUUAAAAAUGAUCUAAACGUGUUAGCUUCCUGUCUUUUCCAUAUCUCUUGACUAUUGUUACAAAAAUACACACAUUUCAAACAACCAAUUUUCUCUUUAGUGAUAUCCAAUUUUUAUUGAAAUUUAUACAGUAUAUUGUUGCCUAUUUCUACAUCAACUUUAAGAACUAUAAGUAUGAAGAAUAAGCACCAAUUCUUUGUGAAAAUAGUUAAUUGUGUAUACUGUAUGAUAAACAGCGAUUGCUCAGCUUUCUAAGAUUAGUAAUUUCAGGGCAUUAUCAGUGUGAAUUUCAGAUUAAGUAUUGGGAUGAGUUUUUAUACAGUGAUAGUCUUGGCAACCAUGUACCAAAUUAAGUAGCAUCACUCGGAUCUAAACAUCAGUGAAUUUUGAGAUGUAGUUGUGCAUGUAGCUUGACUGAUGCUCAAAGAAACACGUCGUGUGUGUGUGGAGGGGGGAAUGACAACACUAAGAGUAAUAUUUCAUGUACUGCACAUAUUACAGCUGGCAUUUUGCCACUUAGCUCUAUGAUAAGGGAGGAAUAUUGUUUGCAUUUCAGGCCUAAUUUUCAAGACUGAGUUCUAAUUUUGUUUAUUCCCUUAGGUAAUUACUGGAUUUCAGCAUGCAAAGGAAUUUUAUUAUUGGAUUUUUUUUAACCGUUAAACUUGUAUAGUAAAUGUCCUCUCUUUAAAUUUAGGCACAAAAAAUUCUCCCACAUCAAAGUAGCUUGUGAUUCUCAUUUGUGGCUAGAGUGUUAAUCAUCUUUCGAUAAUGCUUUGAAGUUAGCUUUCUUCCCCUUC
This 2929-nucleotide long non-coding RNA is filed under the name Chinchilla lanigera (long-tailed chinchilla). RNAcentral describes it as "lncRNA (ENSCLAG00000022508.1)". Lineage: Eukaryota; Metazoa; Chordata; Mammalia; Rodentia; Chinchillidae. The record is from RNAcentral.